CCUACGGGCGGCAGCAGUGGGGAAUAUUGCGCAAUGGGCGAAAGCCUGACGCAGCGACGCCGCGUGAGGGAUGAAGGUCUUCGGAUCGUAAACCUCAGUCAGCAGGGAAGACCGGUCACUGUGCUAAUCAGCAGUGAAUUGACGGUACCUGCAAAGGAAACAACGGCUAACUCCGUGCCAGCAGCCGCGGUAAUACGGAGGGUGCGAGCGUUAAUCGGAAUUAAUGGGCGUAAAGCGACAGUAGUCGGUAUUGCAAGUCAAGGGUGAAAUCCCCGCGCUCAACGUGUGAAGUGCCUUUGACACUGGCAAACUGGAGUGUGUGAGAGGAGAGUAGAAGUACAGGUGU
Molecule: ribosomal RNA, 346 nt
Filed under: uncultured bacterium
Lineage: Bacteria
Description: partial 16S ribosomal RNA
Rfam family: Bacterial small subunit ribosomal RNA
Source: RNAcentral